CUCAGCUUCUCAAGGACACUGUUAUUGUUUUGUAUCUUGCAUAGGGAGCUUGUUCUUGCAACCAGACUUCCUUGAUGUCCUUCUCUCACUGGGGGAAUCAAAGAACUCCAUUUGUGAAAGCCUGAAAAGCCCUGGCAUACUUGGAGAGACCGAACAAAGGACUCAACUGACUAACUUGGCAGAGGACCUCAUAGUUUCUCACCAAGCUCUCAUCAAUAAUGAGGAAUAAGCACUGGAUGUCAGGCUGCAGAUUUCACUUUUAAGAAGGAGGAAGUCCUGACUGGUUUGGAGGAUCCAACUUCAGACUUGCAAGACCUGCGGAUACUUUCAGACUGGUCUUCAACUGCAAGACAGUUGCCCUCCUCAGCUGCAAAUACAGAAUAAGACACCAGCAGGGAAGAAAAAGAUGUGUCUUGUCAUCUUUAGAUCUGUAAGUUUCUCAAGGAACACAAAGAAGGAGAAGAAAUAAAUGUGAAAAUAGUGCCAGCUGAAAUGAGAAAAUGCUUGUAGAGAAUGCCAGUUAUCUUCCUUGCACCCCCAGCAGAGUCUCAGAAGACAGUGAAUGGUGUGUAGAGGAAAUCAGCUUAGACAA
This is a long non-coding RNA of Apus apus (common swift), 592 nucleotides long. RefSeq lists it as uncharacterized. Lineage: Eukaryota; Metazoa; Chordata; Aves; Apodiformes; Apodidae. The record is from RefSeq and is a predicted model, not a curated record. The transcript is spliced from 4 exons.